CAAUUGGUUAACAUAUCCUCAAAUCUAAAAAAAAAUAUGUGAUGGUUGAGGUUAGCCUCAUAAAGCUAAAAAAUACUUUUGUAUGUAUUUUAGCACUGAGUGGCUAUUUCCACUUAAGAGUAAGUCACCAAAGAGAUAAAUACUUGGAGACUUAUUUUUGCACGUUUCAUAAAAUGGUAAUUUUAUUUUUGAUUGAUUUGGACAAUAUUGGUGCUAUGAGAAAAGAGACUCAUUAUAAUAUUUAUUUUUAUUCUUCCUUUUAUUUAUUUGACAUAUCUUAUUGGUUCUAAAUAUUUGCCUUGCCUGGCCACCUGGAAUUAAAUUAAUGAGCAGCUCAAAAUCAAAAUUUUCAUAAGAAACUGAGGGUAUUUCAUUUGUUUGGUUGCUUUUCUUUUCUAUUUCUGUUUAGCCUUUGGAAAAGCUACAAAAUAGUCACAAUUGCAUAGUUACACAAUUUUAGUGUUACAGAAAUAUAUACAUUUAAAAUUGGAACACUAUGGAAGGUUAAUGAGAGAAUUCAAGGUAAAUGGUCAUAAAAACUGAUUAGCUGCCAAUCCCCUUUAAAUUUUAAAUCAAAUUUCAAAAUCAUUUAGUUGUUAUGAUACAUGAUAAUAACUUCAAUAUUAUAAUAUAUUCAUGGAAAGUAAAGGAACUAAUUUGAUAUUAGUCUUCUGCUUGCCUGAUCCAGUUUAAUAAUAACAAUAACAAAAGAUACACAGACUUGUUUCUGUUACAUAUUUUGUUUUGGGUUCUUUCCUC
RNAcentral lists this long non-coding RNA (759 nucleotides) under Marmota monax (woodchuck). Lineage: Eukaryota; Metazoa; Chordata; Mammalia; Rodentia; Sciuridae. The record is from RNAcentral.